Molecule: long non-coding RNA, 408 nt
Filed under: Spirodela polyrhiza (greater duckweed)
Lineage: Eukaryota; Viridiplantae; Streptophyta; Magnoliopsida; Alismatales; Araceae
Description: long non-coding RNA (SPOL_LNC002154)
Source: RNAcentral
GCCGCCGGGACGGGCUACUGGAAGGCGACCGGCGCCGACAAGCCCAUCGGCACCCCCAAGCCCAUGGCCAUUAAGAAGGCCCUCGUCUUCUACUCUGGGAAGGCCCCCAAGGGCGAGAAGACCAACUGGAUCAUGCACGAGUACCGCCUCGCCGACGUCGACCGUACCGCCCGCAGGAAGAACAGCUUGAGGGUAUGCUCCAUCUCUCUCUCUCUCUCUCUGUUUACCUCUGUGCUUCUCUAUCAUUCUCGCCUCGAUCUGGGCUUACUGAUUUCUUUUACUUGCGUGUGGAUGUGCAGCUGGACGAUUGGGUACUGUGCAGGAUCUACAACAAGAAGGGCGGCGCGGAGAAACAGAUGAACGCUGACCGCAGGGCGGCAGCGGCCUCUAGAGGCCCGCUUCUGGCUC